CCUACGAGGGGCAGCAGUGAGGAAUAUUGGUCAAUGGACGAGAGUCUGAACCAGCCAAGUCGCGUGAAGGAUGACUGCCCUAUGGGUUGUAAACUUCUUUUAUAUGGGAAUAAAAUGCUCCACGUGUGGGAUUUUGUAUGUACCAUAUGAAUAAGGAUCGGCUAACUCCGGGCCAGCAGCCGCGGUAAUACGGAGGAUCCGAGCGUUAUCCGGAUUUAUUGGGGUUAAAGGGUGCGUAGGUGGAUUGGUAAGUCAGUUGUGAAAGUUUGUGGCUCAACCGUAAAAUUGCAGUUGAAACUGUCGGACUGGAGUACAGGAGAGGUAGGCGGAAUGCGUGGUGUAGCGGUGAAAUGCUUAGAUAUCACGAAGAACUCCGAUUGCGAAGGCAGCUCACUGGACUGCAACUGACGCUGAGGCUCGAAAGUGUGGGUAUCAAACAGGAUUAGAUACCCUUGUAGUC
RNAcentral lists this ribosomal RNA (460 nucleotides) under uncultured bacterium. RNAcentral describes it as "partial 16S ribosomal RNA". It matches the Rfam family "Bacterial small subunit ribosomal RNA", at positions 338 to 795 of the family's 1533-position model. The record is from RNAcentral.